RNAcentral lists this ribosomal RNA (487 nucleotides) under uncultured Weissella sp. Its description in RNAcentral is "partial 16S ribosomal RNA". The record is from RNAcentral. Lineage: Bacteria; Bacillati; Bacillota; Bacilli; Lactobacillales; Lactobacillaceae.
CACGUAUUUAGCCGUCCCUUUCUGGUAAGAUACCGUCACUACUUGAACAGUUACUCUCAAGUACAUUCUUCUCUUACAACAGUGCUUUACGAGCCGAAACCCUUCAUCACACACGCGGCGUUGCUCCAUCAGGCUUGCGCCCAUUGUGGAAGAUUCCCUACUGCUGCCUCCCGUAGGAGUAUGGGCCGCGUCUCAGUCCCAUUGUGGCCGAUCAGUCUCUCAACUCGGCUAUGCAUCAUCGUCAUGGUGAGCCAUUACCUCACCAUCUAACUAAUGCACCGCGGGACCAUCUCUUAGUGAUAGCAGAACCAUCUUUCAAUUAAAAACCAUGCGGUUUUUAGUGUUAUACGGUAUUAGCAUUUGUUUCCAAAUGUUAUCCCCUGCUAAGAGGUAGGUUUCCCACGUGUUACUCACCCGUUCGCCACUCCUUGCAUUGUCUUAAAUCAUUUCGUGCAAGCACUCCAUUCAUUAAGACGACAAGCGUUCG